This is a non-coding RNA of Tetranychus urticae (two-spotted spider mite), 1196 nucleotides long. The record is from RefSeq and is a predicted model, not a curated record. NCBI's taxonomy places the organism in Eukaryota, Metazoa, Arthropoda, Arachnida, Trombidiformes, Tetranychidae.
GUGAAGAGACAAACAAAGCGAAUAACUAAUGGAAAACAAAAAAAAAGGUAAAGAUGUGUUAUUAACAGUGAACAUUUCAAUUUUCACUUCGUCAAGGAACCAUGUAUCCGUUACAAAAAAAGGUAAAUUUAUUAUCUGGAAAUUCCAAUUUAAAUUAACUUAAAUCUUAGAUCAACAGAUUUUAUAGAUGACAAGACAAAGCCAAUGUAAGUAAAAUAUCUAUAAAAUUGCGCUUCUUUUAAUUCAUCUAUGAAAUAAGUAAACAAUUUACAUCCAUUCAGAAUGGCCAUUCAUUUGAAAUAAGAAGUCAGCUGAAAAACAAAUCUAUUGGAACAUAUAAUUUGUUUGUAAUUGGCUAAUUGACUGUGGGUUUUGUUUUAAAAUCAGUGUAAAAAUAUUUUUUGUUUUACAUCUUGUAUCUAUUAGUAUCUCGAUAUGGCCCUGAACAAGAAGGUCGGUCGAUAAUUUUUGAAAAUUUAUGAUUUUAGAUGAAAAAUGCUGAAGCAAUUUCACCGGAGAAAAACAAAGGAAGAGGAGAAGGUUAAGAAAAAAUGUAUUUCAAUCAACAUGUUCAACAGAUUGUCGCAGGGAAACCCAUCGAGGACAAAGUCACAUAUUAGGACUGAUUUGGGCAGCAAUUAAGCUGAUUGGCUAUGCGUAGCAGCUAAAGAAGAGAUCAUUUACCUUCAUCUAAGGAUGUGGUUAAUAUGGAAGAUCAAUUUCGACUUGAAACAAGAUUCUUGAGGUUCAAUUUUUCGUUUAAAAAUUUCCGAUUGGAUUUAUUGGCAUUGUCCUCUUAAAGUUUAUUGAUCUUUAACCAUUAGUUGGCCAUUGAUUGGUUUAAUUUAAUUUGAACAGCUGAAACGCUGCUUUCCGGAAAGCUAGCUUUACCCUUUAUCUAAAAAUUUCAAAUCAACUUUUCUUAAUCGAUGCAUCAACCUUAAGUUACAUGAGAUGUAUUAGGAUUAAUCAUUUAAUUUUACAUUUCUGUGCAGCGUUAAUCAAUGGAGGAUGGAUUAGACAUUUAAAUUAUUGCUAUCUUUCAAGUAAUUAAAGUCAAGGGUGCUGUAUCAAGGAUUAACCAAAAUGACAAUUAGCAUAUGUAUUUUAAUCAACUUCAAGUUUUUCCGUUCUUUUAUGCAUACGGAAAUAGCAAACACUAUUUCUCAUAUUAAAUCAAAAUUUUUAUUCGCAAA